This is a long non-coding RNA of Wasmannia auropunctata (little fire ant), 568 nucleotides long. RefSeq lists it as uncharacterized. The transcript is spliced from 2 exons. NCBI's taxonomy places the organism in Eukaryota, Metazoa, Arthropoda, Insecta, Hymenoptera, Formicidae. The record is from RefSeq and is a predicted model, not a curated record.
GCAGCACCGCGGCUCAUUUCCGCGCUCGCGUGCUACCGUAUACGUAAUGAAUUUUCUGCUUAUCGAAUACACAACGAUCGCGAGCACAGAGCGUUUAUUGUGCUUUAUCGGCGCGGCGCGGCGCGAACAAAAUUUCUAUUUGCCUGGACAAAAUUAAAAUAUCGGCCCGAUGUGGUGACAAUUAAAUCGUUAAUUUCACGAAAUGGGUGUGUGCAAGAGAACCGCCGUCAGUACCGUCCGCGCGGCGUUUUACGCGUGGCAAGGUUGGAGCUUUGUGACAUUGAUCGGCAUCGUCAUAGCUCUGAUGUUAUUCUCUUAUAAUUAUGUAAUUAAACCUUCGGAGGUAACGGCAUCGCAAAAUUAAACCUAUUCAAACUUACGAAGAAGUACGGAAGGACUAAGUAAAUCAGAAUUCCUAAAUGAGCAAUUACCAUAAUGAAGAAGUUAUUCAAGAAAACCUUCAACUUCUCGUUAAUGCAAGCAGUAACUGAACUAUUAUCAGCAUCGUAUUCUCCGACCCGUCUUUUACGUUAAAAAAAAUUUGAAAUAAUAAGCAUAUGAAAAUCUA